CCUACGGGAGGCAGCAGUGGGGAAUAUUGGGCAAUGGGCGCAAGCCUGAACCAGCAAAGCCGCGUGAAGGAAGAAGGCUCUAGGGUUGUAAACUUCUUUUUAGAGGGAAGAGCAGAAGACGGUACCUCUUGAAUAAGCCACGGCUAAAUAAGUGCCAGCAGCCCAGGUAAUACGUAGGUGGCAAGCGUUGUCCGGAUUUACUGGGUGUAAAGGGCGUGUAGCCGGGCUGACAAGUCAGAUGUGAAAUCCGGGGGCUCAACCCCCGAACUGCAUUUGAAACUGUUGUUCUUGAGUAUCGGAGAGGCAGGCGGAAUUCCUAGUGUAGCGGUGAAAUGCGUAGAUAUUAGGAGGAACACCAGUGGCGAAGGCGGCCUGCUGGACGACAACUGACGGUGAGGCGCGAAAGCGUGGGUAUCGAACAGGAUUAGAUACCCCAGUAGUC
Molecule: ribosomal RNA, 442 nt
Filed under: uncultured bacterium
Lineage: Bacteria
Description: partial 16S ribosomal RNA
Rfam family: Bacterial small subunit ribosomal RNA
Source: RNAcentral